Molecule: long non-coding RNA, 1917 nt
Organism: Silurus meridionalis
Lineage: Eukaryota; Metazoa; Chordata; Actinopteri; Siluriformes; Siluridae
Exons: 3
Source: RefSeq, a predicted model, not a curated record
UGAGAAUAUAAGUUCCACUGUUUUCUGCAAUCUUUGCUCAGUGUUUAGUGUUGCUUGGCCUUUUGAGUCUCAGGAGUCAAAAGUUCAUCUUCACCUGUGGGUUUAGCCUGUCUUCUGUUGUUGUCUGAGUGUCUGUGUCUCGCUCAUCUUUGUUCAAAUCCCUACCCCGGCAUGAAGGACUGAUUCGCCUGUGACCGGUUCAGAUGAGGGUGUAUUGUGGUGGUUUGAUUCCCCAGAUCUGAAGCUGAUCAGGCAUCUAUAGAGGCCCCAUUUUCCACCUUAAAAAAUCAGCUGCUAAUGGUGGCACCACAAAACCCCAGCACACCUUCGGAGGUCUUGAGUCUAUGCAUCAAUGGGUCCAUAGCAUGUGAAGAACCAUUUUAUAUUAAAAAAAAUAAAGUUUAUAGUAUCAAAGUCUAUCCACAGCUUAUAAUUUUUCACGAGCCAAUUGAAUCAAACAUGAAAUGAAAGGAGUAGGUAGGGAAGGAGAGAAGCUUCAUCAUGAACAUCUCAUCACAGCUCAACCCACAAAGGACCCUGUGGAAAUAACCUGCUCUCUCAUAUCUGAUAAAAACACAUGUCAAAGGCAAUGAAGCAGAAGCUUUCUGAUAUUUAUUUGGCUAACACUUUUGCCCUGCAUACAGGUUGUUUAGAAUGAGGUUUGUACCCUCCAGAUUUGGUGUAAAGCAAAAUAAAAUCCUCACAGUGAGAAAAAUUCAUUGAAGAAAAAUAUUAUUUCAAGGACUUUUCUGAACGAAUUUUGUAUAAAUAAAGAUUUUUGGUUGAACACAAACUAUAGAUUGUAUUUAUAAUAAACCCGAAAUGUGACACAGUACCAAGACAUGCUGCUGCUCUGAAAUAAGCCUUCUGAAGAACCAUAAAACACAAUUAGAAAUACAAAAACAGGACAAAAUGUACAAUUCACAAUAAAAUAUACAACUCAAAUAAAUACAGUAUGUAUAUAUUUCUAUAUAUAUAGGAUGGGUUAACUUCAAGUUCAAUAGUUGAACCAAAAAAAUCUUAAAGCUCGUUUUUUACGCAAGACAUUUUUCUCUAAAACAGGAAAGUGCACCGUUUUUUUUUUUUUUCUCGAUACAUUCCUGCUCACUUUGGAGUUAAAAACAAACAAACAAAAAAAAACAACAAUGACUUGACUCAAGGUUACAUGAAUAUAGGCGUUUCACUUGACCGUGAUUCACUUAAACAUGAACCACAGAAAGAGAAGCACAGACUGGAAAAAAAAAAAAAAAAAAAGAAAAAACAUGAGAAAGUUCACUUGUAGUAGGCGAAUACAUGAACUCGAUACGAGAUGAAAUAUCAACAUGCUUUCGUUUUUUUUUUGGUCACUUGUUUUAUAGUUCUAUACUGAAUAACAGAGAAACUGUUAUGAUAUAGAUUUUAUAUAUAUAUAUAUAUAUAUAUAUAUAUAUAUAUAUAUAUAUAUAUAUAUAUAUAUGGUGCUUAGAGUCUCCCUGAGAUACGUCUUGGAUUUUGGUGCGAUUCGGAUUCAAGAUGCCGAUUCUUUAAAAGUGUUGGGCAAUGAACGUUUUUAAAAGAAGGCGUUCACAGCUUUCAACUUAAUCUCUCCUUCCGACAUCUGUAGCGUAGACGUGAUUACUCCCGACUAAAUACAAUGUAUGGGCAAAAGUAUUGGGACACCUGUCAAAUGCCGUUCUUCCCCAAACUGGUACCACACAAUUUUAUAUAGGAUGCGGUACCAUGAAAUUUUCCCUUCACUUGAACGCCGAACCUGUUCCAAAACAAUACACAAUGCCAGCUCUAAGAAGAUGUGCUUCACAUGGGUUGGAGUAGAAGAUCUCCUUCUAUAGAGCUCUGACCUCAACCCUACUGAACACCUUUGGGAUGUAUGUGAACACUGACUGCACCCCAGGCUUCCUCACCUUCUCACCUACAUCA